GCAGCAAGCCACUUUGUCGCUUUAAUUUAUUUAAAGAGGAAAGUCCGGGCUCCAAAGAGUAGCAUAGCGGGUAACGCCCGUCCGUCGAGAGGCGAGGACAAGUGCAACAGAAAGUAUGUACAGUUCGGCUGUAGUGAAACCAGGUAAACUCUAUGCGGAGCAAUGCCAUGUAUACCAGCAGUUAAGAGCUACUCGCUCGUUGCUGGGGGGUAGGCAGAUUGAUGUUUAGGGUAACUUAAAUACUAGAUAAAUGACAAAGCAUUACAUUGUAAUGACAGAACCCGGCUUAUAGGCUUGCUAUUUUC
RNAcentral lists this RNase P RNA (305 nucleotides) under Chishuiella changwenlii. Its description in RNAcentral is "Bacterial RNase P class A". It matches the Rfam family "Bacterial RNase P class A". Rfam says of the family: Ribonuclease P (RNase P) is a ubiquitous endoribonuclease, found in archaea, bacteria and eukarya as well as chloroplasts and mitochondria. Its best characterised activity is the generation of mature 5'-ends of tRNAs by cleaving the 5'-leader elements of precursor-tRNAs. The record is from RNAcentral. Lineage: Bacteria; Pseudomonadati; Bacteroidota; Flavobacteriia; Flavobacteriales; Weeksellaceae.